RNAcentral lists this transfer RNA (75 nucleotides) under Lysobacteraceae bacterium. RNAcentral's name for it is "Xanthomonadaceae bacterium tRNA-Leu". It matches the Rfam family "tRNA". Rfam says of the family: Transfer RNA (tRNA) molecules are approximately 80 nucleotides in length. The record is from RNAcentral. Lineage: Bacteria; Pseudomonadati; Pseudomonadota; Gammaproteobacteria; Lysobacterales; Lysobacteraceae.
ACGGGAUGUAGCUCAGUGGAUAGAGCAAUCGAUUUAGGCUCGAUUAGGCGUAGGUUCGAAUCCUACCUUCCAAUG